UCUUUGUGUGUGUGUGUGUGUCUGUGAGGAAAAUGCUAUUCUAGUUUACUCUAUUCCACCACUCUUCAGUAAAAGUAUACCGGUAGCCCAGGUCCUUAGG
Molecule: long non-coding RNA, 100 nt
Organism: Sinocyclocheilus rhinocerous
Lineage: Eukaryota; Metazoa; Chordata; Actinopteri; Cypriniformes; Cyprinidae
Exons: 3
Source: RefSeq, a predicted model, not a curated record